UUACCACGUAUUCCCUAGAAAAAGUGGC
Molecule: small RNA, 28 nt
Filed under: Bombyx mori (domestic silkworm)
Lineage: Eukaryota; Metazoa; Arthropoda; Insecta; Lepidoptera; Bombycidae
Description: ovarian small RNA-36464
Source: RNAcentral